GUGGGUAUAGCCCAGGGGUAGCACAUGUGCUUAGCAUGCAUGAGGCCCUGGGUUCAAUCCCCAGUACUUCCA
This 72-nucleotide transfer RNA is filed under the name Camelus bactrianus (Bactrian camel). It matches the Rfam family "tRNA". Rfam says of the family: Transfer RNA (tRNA) molecules are approximately 80 nucleotides in length. RNAcentral also lists the same sequence under 1 other name. The record is from Rfam by way of RNAcentral. Lineage: Eukaryota; Metazoa; Chordata; Mammalia; Artiodactyla; Camelidae.